RNAcentral lists this ribosomal RNA (460 nucleotides) under uncultured bacterium. RNAcentral describes it as "partial 16S ribosomal RNA". It matches the Rfam family "Bacterial small subunit ribosomal RNA", at positions 338 to 795 of the family's 1533-position model. The record is from RNAcentral.
CCUACGGGUGGCAGCAGUGAGGAAUAUUGGUCAAUGGACGCAAGUCUGAACCAGCCAUGCCGCGUGCAGGAAGACGGCUCUAUGAGUUGUAAACUGCUUUUGUACGAGGGUAAACGCAGAUACGCGUAUCUGUCUGAAAGUAUCGUACGAAUAAGGAUCGGCUAACUCCGUGCCAGCAGCCGCGGGAAGACGGAGGAUUCAAGCGUUAUCCGGAUUUAUUGGGUUUAAAGGGUGCGUAGGCGGUCGGAUAAGUUAGAGGUGAAAUACCGAGGCUCAACUUCGGAAUUGCAUCUGAUACUGGUCGGCUUGAGAGUAGUUGCGGUAGGCGGAAUGUAUGGUGUAGCGGUGAAAUGCUUAGAGAUCAUACAGAACACCGAUUGCGAAGGCAGCUUACCAAGCUACUUCUGACGUUGAGGCACGAAAGCGUGGGGAGCAAACAGGAUUAGAUACCCUUGUAGUC